Molecule: ribosomal RNA, 443 nt
Filed under: uncultured bacterium
Lineage: Bacteria
Description: partial 16S ribosomal RNA
Rfam family: Bacterial small subunit ribosomal RNA
Source: RNAcentral
CCUACGGGAGGCAGCAGUGGGGAAUAUUGGGCAAUGGGCGCAAGCCUGACCCAGCAACGCCGCGUGAAGGAAGAAGGCUUUCGGGUUGUAAACUUCUUUUGUCAGGGACGAAGCAAGUGACGGUACCUGACGAAUAAGCCACGGCUAACUACGUGCCAGCAGCCGCGGUAAUACGUAGGUGGCAAGCGUUAUCCGGAUUUACGGGGUGUAAAGGGCGGGGAGGCGGGGAAGCAAGUCAGAUGUGAAAACCACGGGCUCAACCUGUGGCCUGCAUUUGAAACUGUUUUUCGUGAGUACUGGAGAGGCAGGCGGAAUGCCUGGUGUAGCGGUGAAAUGCGUAGAUAUCAGGAGGAACACCGGUGGCGAAGGCGGCCUGCUGGACUGCAACUGACGUUGAGGCCCGAAAGCGUGGGGAGCAAACAGGAUUAGAUACCCUAGUAGUC